This 468-nucleotide ribosomal RNA is filed under the name uncultured bacterium. Its description in RNAcentral is "partial 16S ribosomal RNA". It matches the Rfam family "Bacterial small subunit ribosomal RNA", at positions 28 to 507 of the family's 1533-position model. The record is from RNAcentral.
GACGAACGCUGGCGGCGUGCUUAACACAUGCAAGUCGAACGGAAAGGCCCUGCUUUUGUGGGGUGCUCGAGUGGCGAACGGGUGAGUAACACGUGAGUAACCUGCCCUUGACUUUGGGAUAACUUCAGGAAACUGGGGCUAAUACCGGAUAGGAGCUCCUGCUGCAUGGUGGGGGUUGGAAAGUUUCGGCGGUUGGGGAUGGACUCGCGGCUUAUCAGCUUGUUGGUGGGGUAGUGGCUUACCAAGGCUUUGACGGGUAGCCGGCCUGAGAGGGUGACCGGCCACAUUGGGACUGAGAUACGGCCCAGACUCCUAUGGGAGGCAGUAGUGGGGAGUAUUGCACAAUGGGCGGAAGCCUGAUGCAGCAACGCCGCGUGCGGGAUGACGGCCUUCGGGUUGUAAACCGCUUUCGCCUGUGACGAAGCGUGAGUGACGGUAAUGGGUAAAGAAGCACCGGCUAACUACGUG